This 450-nucleotide ribosomal RNA is filed under the name uncultured bacterium. RNAcentral's name for it is "partial 16S ribosomal RNA". It matches the Rfam family "Bacterial small subunit ribosomal RNA", at positions 354 to 796 of the family's 1533-position model. The record is from RNAcentral.
GUGGGGAAUCUUCCACAAUGGACGAAAGUCUGAUGGAGCAACGCCGCGUGAGUGAAGAAGGGUUUCGGCUCGUAAAGCUCUGUUGUCGGGGACGAAUGUGCAGUAUUUGAAUAAAGUACUGCAAUGACGGUACCUGACGAGGAAGCCACGGCUAACUACGUGCCAGCAGCCGCGGUAAUACGUAGGUGGCAAGCGUUGUCCGGAAUUAUUGGGCGUAAAGGGAGCGCAGGCGGGAAGGUAAGUCGGUCUUAAAAGUGCGGGGCUCAACCCCGUGAUGGGAUCGAAACUAUCUUUCUUGAGUGCAGGAGAGGAAAGUGGAAUUCCUAGUGUAGCGGUGAAAUGCGUAGAUAUUAGGAGGAACACCAGUGGCGAAGGCGGCCACCUGGACAGGUACUGACGCUGAGGCGCGAAAGCGUGGGGAGCAAACAGGAUUAGAAACCCCGGUAGUCC